RNAcentral lists this ribosomal RNA (253 nucleotides) under uncultured bacterium. RNAcentral describes it as "partial 16S ribosomal RNA". It matches the Rfam family "Bacterial small subunit ribosomal RNA", at positions 524 to 776 of the family's 1533-position model. The record is from RNAcentral.
UACAGAGGUCUCAAGCGUUGUUCGGAUUCAUUGGGCGUAAAGGGUGCGUAGGUGGCGCGGUAAGUCGGGUGUGAAAUCUUGGAGCUUAACUCCGAAACUGCAUUCGAUACUGCCGUGCUUGAGGACUGGAGAGGAGACUGGAAUUUACGGUGUAGCGGUGAAAUGCGUAGAUAUCGUAAGGAAGACCAGUGGCGAAGGCGGGUCUCUGGACAGUUCCUGACGCUGAGGCACGAAGGCCAGGGGAGCAAACGGG